RNAcentral lists this unclassified non-coding RNA (193 nucleotides) under soil metagenome. Its description in RNAcentral is "partial contains 5.8S ribosomal RNA, internal transcribed spacer 2, and large subunit ribosomal RNA". The record is from RNAcentral.
AACGCACGAGACCUGCGGACCUGCGGAAGGAUCAUUACCGAGUUAUCCAACUCCCAACCCCUGUGAAUUAUACCUUUAAUUGUUGCUUCGGCGGGACUUCGCGCCCGCCGGGGACCCAAACCUUCUGAAUUUUUUAAUAAGUAUCUUCUGAGUGGUUUAAAAAAUGAAUCAAAACUUUUAGCAACGGAUCUCU